GGCGGACGGGUGAGUAAUACUUAGGAAUCUACCUAGUAGUGGGGGAUAGCUCGGGGAAACUCGAAUUAAUACCGCAUACGACCUACGGGAGAAAGGGGGCAACUUGUUGCUCUCGCUAUUAGAUGAACCUAAGUCGGAUUAGCUAGAUGGUGGGGUAAAGGCCUACCAUGGCGACGAUCUGUAGCUGGUCUGAGAGGAUGAUCAGCCACACCGGGACUGAGACACGGCCCGGACUCCUACGGGAGGCAGCAGUGGGGAAUAUUGGACAAUGGGGGAAACCCUGAUCCAGCCAUGCCGCGUGUGUGAAGAAGGCCUUUUGGUUGUAAAGCACUUUAAGCAGUGAAGAAGACUCCGUGGUUAAUACCCACGGACGAUGACAUUAGCUGCAGAAUAAGCACCGGCUAACUCUGUGCCAGCAGCCGCGGUAAUACAGAGGGUGCAAGCGUUAAUCGGAAUUACUGGGCGUAAAGGGAGCGUAGGUGGCUCGAUAAGUCAGAUGUGAAAUCCCCGGGCUUAACCUGGGAACUGCAUCUGAUACUGUUGAGCUAGAGUAUGUGAGAGGAAGGUAGAAUUCCAGGUGUAUCGGUGAAAUGCGUAGAGAUCUGGAGGAAUACCGAUGGCGAAGCAGCCUUCUGGCAUAAUACUGACACUGAAGGCUCGAAGCGUGGUAGCAGACAGGAUUAGAUACCCUGGUAGUCCACGCCGUACACGAUGUCUACUAGUCGCUGGGUCCAUGAGGACUUAGUGACGCAGCUAACGCAAUAAGUACACCGCCUGGCGAGUACGGUCGCAAAGUUAAACUCAAUGAGUUGACGGAGCCCGCUACAG
Molecule: ribosomal RNA, 828 nt
Filed under: uncultured bacterium
Lineage: Bacteria
Description: bacterial SSU rRNA
Rfam family: Bacterial small subunit ribosomal RNA
Source: RNAcentral